GUCCCGCAACGAGCGCAACCCUCAUCCUUAGUUGCCAUCACGUUUGGGUGGGCACUCUAGGGAAACUGCCGGUGCUAAGCCGGAGGAAGGCGGGGAUGACGUCAAGUCCUCAUGGCCCUUACGCGUAGGGCUACACACGUGCUACAAUGGCAGUGACAAUGGGAUAAUCCCCAAAAGCUGUCUCAGUUCGGAUUGUCGGCUGCAACUCGCCGGCAUGAAGUUGGAAUCGCUAGUAAUCGCGGAUCAGCACGCCGCGGUGAAUACGUUCCCGGGCCUUGUACACACCGCCCGUCACACCAUGGGAG
This 305-nucleotide ribosomal RNA is filed under the name Oxyrrhis marina. RNAcentral describes it as "partial Bacterial small subunit ribosomal RNA". It matches the Rfam family "Bacterial small subunit ribosomal RNA", at positions 1084 to 1410 of the family's 1533-position model. Lineage: Eukaryota; Dinophyceae; Oxyrrhinales; Oxyrrhinaceae. The record is from RNAcentral.